Molecule: ribosomal RNA, 253 nt
Filed under: uncultured bacterium
Lineage: Bacteria
Description: partial 16S ribosomal RNA
Rfam family: Bacterial small subunit ribosomal RNA
Source: RNAcentral
GACAGAGGUGGCAAGCGUUGUUCGGAUUCAUUGGGUGUAAAGGGCAGGUAGGUGGUCGGGUAAGUCCGGCGUGAAAUCCCAUGGCUCAACCGUGGAACUGCGUUGGAAACUGCCUGACUUGAGUAUCGGAGAGGUGUAGGGAAUUCUCGGUGUAAGGGUGAAAUCUGUAGAUAUCGAGAGGAACACCAGUGGCGAAGGCGCUACACUGGCCGAUUACUGACGCUGAGCUGCGAAAGCAAGGGGAGCAAACAGG